CAGGUAGUCGGCGGGGUAACGGCCCACCGAGCCCACGACGGGUAGCCGGCCUGAGAGGGCGACCGGCCACAUUGGGACUGAGAUACGGCCCAGACUCCUACGGGAGGCAGCAGUGGGGAAUAUUGCACAAUGGGCGCAAGCCUGAUGCAGCGACGCCGCGUGCGGGAUGACGGCCUUCGGGUUGUAAACCGCUUUUGACUGGGAGCAAGCCCUUCGGGGUGAGUGUACCUUUCGAAUAAGCACCGGCUAACUACGUGCCAGCAGCCGCGGUAAUACGUAGGGUGCAAGCGUUAUCCGGAAUUAUUGGGCGUAAAGGGCUCGUAGGCGGUUCGUCGCGUCCGGUGUGAAAGUCCAUCGCUUAACGGUGGAUCCGCGCCGGGUACUGGCGGGCUUGAGUGCGGUAGGGGAGACUGGAAUUCCCGGUGUAACGGUGAAUGUGUAGAUAUCGGGAAGAACACCAAUGGCGAAGGCAGGUCUCUGGGCCGUCACUGACGCUGAGGAGCGAAAGCGUGGGGAGCGAACAGGAUUAGAUACCCUGGUAGUCCACGCCGUAAACGGUGGAUGCUGGAUGUGGGGACCAUUCCACGGUCUCCGUGUCGGAGCCAACGCGUUAAGCAUCCCGCCUGGGGAGUACGGCCGCAAGGCUAAAACUCAAAGAAAUUGACGGGGGCCCGCACAAGCGGCGGAGCAUGCGGAUUAAUUCGAUGCAACGCGAAGAACCUUACCUGGGCUUGACAUGUUCCCGACAGCCCCAGAGAUGGGGCCUCCCUUCGGGGCGGGUUCACAGGUGGUGCAUGGUCGUCGCCAGCUCGUGUCGUGAGAUGUUGGGUUAAGUCCCGCAACGAGCGCAACCCUCGCCCUGCUUGCCAGCACGUCAUGGUGGGAACUCACGGGGGACCGCCGGGGUCAACUCGGAGGAAGGGGAUGACGUCAGAUCAUCAUGCCCCUUACGUCCAGGGCUUCACGCAUGCUACAAUGGCCGGUACAACGGGAUGCGACCUCGUGAGGGGGAGCGGAUCCCUUAAAACCGGUCUCAGUUCGGAUUGGAGUCUGCAACCCGACUCCAUGAAGGCGGAGUCGCUAGUAAUCGCGGAUCAGCAACGCCGCGGUGAAUGCGUUCCCGGGCCUUGUACACACCGCCCGUCAAGUCAUGAAAGUGGGUAGCACCCGAAGCCGGUGGCCCAACCUUUUUGGGGGGGAGCCGUCUAAGGUGAGACUCGUGAUUGGGACUAAGUCGAAACAAGGUAGCCGUACCGGAAGGUGCGGCUG
RNAcentral lists this ribosomal RNA (1269 nucleotides) under metagenome. Its description in RNAcentral is "bacterial SSU rRNA". It matches the Rfam family "Bacterial small subunit ribosomal RNA", at positions 242 to 1520 of the family's 1533-position model. The record is from RNAcentral.